CGGCCGGAACAGAUCUUGGGAAGUAGGAUGAGCGGAGCUGUCAAUAUGCAAUUCAAACAGUUACUUUUUUACAGCUUUAAUUAGAGAAUUCAGUGCGAGUGGAAAGCUCAAGUAGUAGAAAAGCAGUUCUGCUUUUAGAUACACUAUCUAAAAGCAACAAUUUCAACUAUGAAAUUGUUCCUCUCUCUGUUCUUCUCCAGAAAAAAAAAAAUGCAAGACCUCUCUGAUGGAAGUCUUGGUAGCGUGAAGGACAAAUUGCCUGUUUCACUGGAAUUAACUCCAAGCUGAUUCCACGCUGCAAAUGGACAGUUUGUCAAAGAUGAGGCUAGACGGAGCAGUCUCUUGCUAUCUCAGCUAUGGAAGGCCAGCAUUGUGCUAACUCGGAGAUUUCUGGGGUAAAACCUUUAACGGCAAGUCCUCUGUCCUGCAUUGCUUUGCUGAAAGUAUACCGAGAACUUUUGGUCACUAAAAUCCGAAACACGCAGUGUUUGAUUGACAACUUGAUCAAGAAUGACUACUUCUCCACUGAAGAUGCAGAGAUUGUUGCCCAGUUUCCAACUCAAGCAGAUAAGGUUCGCAAAAUUCUAGACUUGGUUCAAAGCAAGGGAGAAGAAGUUUCAGAAUAUUUCAUCCAUGUCCUGCAGAAAGUCAUUGAUGCUUACUAUGAACUUCAGCCUUGGUUGGGUGAAAUAGGUUACCAGCCUUCAGAGAAUAUUCGUAGUAAAGCUGUGGAAAAUACAGAUCCAGUUAGCAGGUAUUGUCAGAAACUCAGAUAUGAACUGGGACGGGACUCAAAGUUUGUUAUGUCGUAUGCUCAGAAGGAAGAGAUGCUGCUUGACGAAAUCUACUCCAAUAAUAUUAUGGAGCUGGUCAGUUUUACCAAUGAGAGUCUAGGCAACGUGUCUCAAUUGGAGGCCCUUUUUGAUGAUACAGUUGGGCUAAUUAAUGAAGAUGGAGAAACUGUUUAUGUCUUCGGGGAUGCAGGAAUUGGAAAAUCCAUCUUGCUGCAAAAGAUACAAAGUCUUUGGGCCAGACAAAAGUUGGAUAUAGGGGCCAAAUUUUUUUUCCGUUUUCGAUGCAGGAUGUUUAGCUGCUUUAAAGAAAAUGAAGCCAUAUGUUUGAAAGACCUUUUGUUCAAAUAUAAUUGCUACCCAGACCAGGACCUCACAGAGGUGUUUCAUCACAUCUUGCAGUUUCCUCAUACAGUUCUUUUCACAUUUGACGGCUUUGAUGAGAUCUAUUCUAACUUUGAUCUCAGUAGCGUUCCCGAGAUGUGCUCGCCCAACGAACCGAUCCACCCCCUGGUGCUGCUGGUAAGCCUUCUCAGGGGAAAGCUUCUGAAGGGAUCCAGGAAAAUUCUUACAGCGAGAACAGGAACUGAGAUCCAAAGAAACAUCAUUAGAAAGAAAGUGUUGCUCCGUGGAUUCUCCAGCAGUAACCUGAAGGAAUACACUGCCAUGUUUUUCAAAGAUGAAGGGCAACGAACACUGGUGUUGAACCAGUUGGAAGCUAACCCCAAUCUCUGCAGUUUGUGUUCAGUGCCUUUAUUUUGCUGGAUUAUCUUUAAAUGCUAUGAACACUUCCAUUCCAUGUUUGACAGCCAUGAACUUCCAGACUGUUCAGUUACAUUGACAGAUGUAUUUUUGGUCCUGAUUGAAGUUCAUCUGAACCGAUCUCUGAAAACAAGUUUGCUGAAGAACAACACCAGGAGCCAAGCAGAGACGUUCAAAUCAAGAAAGGAAACUCUUCUAGCUUUGGGUAAAAUGGCAUACAAAGGGAUAGAGAACUCUUUGUUUAUCUUUGAGCAGGAGGAGGUCUCAUCAGUGAACAUCUCUGAAGAGGAUUUGCAGUUGGGCUUUCUCAGGACAGUUCAAGGUUAUAGCGGCUGUGAAGAUCAGUCCACUUACGAGUACUUGCACUUAACCCUUCAGUCUUUUUUCACAGCUUUGUUCCUAGUUAUUGAAGAGAAAGUGGGUACCAAGCAGUUACUUGAGUUUUUCAAUGAGUGCUCUUCCACUGAGACUUCACAGUCUACUUGCCUUCAUAUUCCUUGGUUCAGAAGACAACUGACAGGGGAGGAUCCUUUCCGAAAUAAUGAACAUUUUCAUUUUACCAACCUUUUUCUUUGUGGCCUGCUUUCUAGAUCCAAGCAAAAGCUCCUCAGACAUUUAGUUCUGCCUGCAGUCAUUAAGAGGAAGAGAAAGACACUCAUCACAUACCUUGGGGAGAGCAUGAAAUCCCACCUGAAAGGUCUCUCUCGGUCCAGGCUUCCACAGUACAAUCAGAUUCAGGCCCAGCCCAACUUCAUCUGGAUGCUGAGGUGCCUUUACGAGACGCAAAGCGAGAAAGUGGGGAAGUUGGCUGCCAAACACAUGCAUGCCAAUUACCUCAAACUCACAUACUGCAAUGCCUGCUCCGCUGACUGCAGUGCUAUUUCUUUUGUUAUGCAUCACUUUCAAAAGCGCCUGGCUCUGGAUUUGGACAACAACAACAUCAAUGACUAUGGAGUAAAACAGCUGCUACCUUGUUUCAGCAAACUCGCAGUGAUCAGGCUCAGUGUAAAUCAAAUCACAGAUCAUGGAGUAAAGAUCCUGUAUGAAGAGCUCUCCAAAUACCAAAUUGUGACCUACUUGGGCUUAUACAACAAUCAGAUCACUGAUGUUGGAGCCAAAUACGUUGCAAAGCUAAUUGAAGAAUGUUCAAGCCUUGAAUAUGUUAAAAUAGGAGCAAACAAAAUAACCAGCGAAGGAGGGAAGUGCCUUGCCCAGGCCAUCCAGAAGAGCAAGACAAUGUUUGAAAUUGGGUUGUGGGGUAAUCAAGUUGGAGACGAAGGAGCAAAGGCGUUUGCAGAGGCCCUGAGGAACCACCCCACGUUAACAAACGUGAGUCUCGCAUUCAACGGCAUCACAACAGAGGGCGGCAAAAGUAUUGCUGAAGCUAUGCAGCACAACAACUCUGUGAAAAUAUUCUGGUAAUCGGUAUUGCGCCCUCCUUCUCCUCUUCCUCCUCUAAAGCAUCAGCCUAAUUUUACUUCCUCUAAACCCAUGUCAUCCUCCUCUCCCCUCCUCCUUCUCUCCUUCCAUCCAUCCCCUAUUCUUUCACUACCAGCAAGGUGCAAGAUGCAUCGCUUUGGGAAGAAUGUGGACGCGACUGAUAGAGCAGCUACGUAUGUCCUUUAGGACAUAUCCCCAUCUCCUAUCCGAAAAGAAGACUGUAACAUGAAAGCUGGAAGCUUUAACCAUCAUAACUAAUGCAGCGGCACAGAUUUCAGUGUAAACCAGCACUCUGCACCUUCCUGGAGUCCUCAGAGACUCUGUACAGCAAAGCGUGUGCCACCCCUUCCAUAUUCACUUGGCAGUCAGUCACUGUGCUAUAACCACGUCUUCAUUUUGCUGGGGAGAUCGAGAAGUACCUGAUUCUGAACAGAAACAGGCAAAGUACUUGCUGGAAAGAUUUCCGCUUUGACUGUAUCAGGAAGAAAGAGGGUGAAAUUAGAAAAGGCAGUAACCAGGGGGUCGCCAGAGGGAAGAGGAGGAGAAGGUGCUGUUAAUUAUUUCUCUCAUGGGUCAGGAGUUGGGCAAACUUGGAACAGCCCCACAUGCUGGAAAUGCAAGGGUACCAGGGUGCUGCAUCUCUGUCAAGGGAGGAGCAGGAGGUUGACUAAAAAUGACUUGGAUGAUGAGGCAGCAAUGAGUUUUGGAGAGAUGCUGAAGGU
Non-coding RNA from Struthio camelus australis, 3715 nucleotides. NCBI's taxonomy places the organism in Eukaryota, Metazoa, Chordata, Aves, Struthioniformes, Struthionidae. The record is from RefSeq and is a predicted model, not a curated record.